This 429-nucleotide ribosomal RNA is filed under the name Bacillota bacterium. RNAcentral's name for it is "Firmicutes bacterium partial 16S ribosomal RNA". It matches the Rfam family "Bacterial small subunit ribosomal RNA", at positions 355 to 776 of the family's 1533-position model. The record is from RNAcentral. Lineage: Bacteria; Bacillati; Bacillota.
UGGGGAAUUUUGGACAAUGGGCGCAAGCCUGAUCCAGCCAUGCCGCGUGCGGGAAGAAGGCCUUCGGGUUGUAAACCGCUUUUGUCAGGGAAGAAAAGGUUCUGGUUAAUACCUGGGACUCAUGACGGUACCUGAAGAAUAAGCACCGGCUAACUACGUGCCAGCAGCCGCGGUAAUACGUAGGGUGCAAGCGUUAAUCGGAAUUACUGGGCGUAAAGCGUGCGCAGGCGGUUAUGCAAGACAGAGGUGAAAUCCCCGGGCUCAACCUGGGAACUGCCUUUGGGACUGCAUAGCUAGAGUACGGUAGAGGGGGAUGGAAUUCCGCGUGUAGCAGUGAAAUGCGUAGAUAUGCGGAGGAACACCGAUGGCGAAGGCAAUCCCCUGGACCUGUACUGACGCUCAUGCACGAAAGCGUGGGGAGCAAACAGG